CGCGUAGGCGGUAAUGUAAGUCAGACGUGAAAUCCUUCGGCUUAACUGAAGAACUGCGUCUGAAACUGCAUGACUAGAGUGCAGAAGAGGGAAACGGAAUUCCUGGUGUAGAGGUGAAAUUCGUAGAUAUCAGGAGGAACACCGGUGGCGAAGGCGGUUUCCUGGUCUGACACUGACGCUGAGGCGCGAAAGCGUGGGGAGCAAACAGGAUUAGAUACCCUGGUAGUCCACGCCGUAAACGGUGGGUACUGGGUGUGGGAGGUGUAAUGCCUUCUGUGCCGAAGCUAACGCGUUAAGUACCCCGCCUGGGGAGUAUGGCCGCAAGGUUGAA
RNAcentral lists this ribosomal RNA (331 nucleotides) under uncultured bacterium. RNAcentral describes it as "bacterial SSU rRNA". It matches the Rfam family "Bacterial small subunit ribosomal RNA", at positions 568 to 898 of the family's 1533-position model. The record is from RNAcentral.